Molecule: ribosomal RNA, 253 nt
Filed under: uncultured bacterium
Lineage: Bacteria
Description: partial 16S ribosomal RNA
Rfam family: Bacterial small subunit ribosomal RNA
Source: RNAcentral
UACGGGGGGGGCAAGCGUUGUUCGGAAUUACUGGGCGUAAAGAGCGUGUAGGCGGCCAGAUAGGUCUGUUGUGAAAACUCGAGGCUCAACCUCGAGACGCCGAUGGAAACCAUCUGGCUAGAGUCCGGAAGAGGAGAGUGGAAUUCCUGGUGUAGCGGUGAAAUGCGCAGAUAUCAGGAGGAACACCGGUGGCGAAGGCGGGUCUCUGGGCCGAUACUGACGCUGAGGAGCGAAAGCGUGGGGAGCGAACAGG